CCCUAGUGUGGCCUACUGUUUUGAGCACUGGACUACGACUCUGGAGACCAGGGUUCGAAUCUCUGCUUAGUGA
Non-coding RNA from Phrynosoma platyrhinos (Desert horned lizard), 73 nucleotides. The record is from the annotation of a GenBank genome assembly. NCBI's taxonomy places the organism in Eukaryota, Metazoa, Chordata, Lepidosauria, Squamata, Phrynosomatidae.